CCUACGGGGGGCAGCAGUCGAGAAUCAUUCACAAUGGGGGAAACCCUGAUGGUGCGACGCCGCGUGGGGGAAUGAAGGUCUUCGGAUUGUAAACCCCUGUCAUGUGGGAGCAAAUUAAAAAGAUAGUACCACAAGAGGAAGAGACGGCUAACUCUGUGCCAGCAGCCGCGGUAAUACAGAGGUCUCAAGCGUUGUUCGGAAUCACUGGGCGUAAGGCGUGCGUAGGCUGUUUCGUAAGUCGUGUGUGAAAGGCGCGGGCUCAACCCGCGGACGGCACAUGAUACUGCGAGACUAGAGUAAUGGAGGGGGAACCGGAAUUCUCGGUGUAGCAGUGAAAUGCGUAGAUAUCGAGAGGAACACUCGUGGCGAAGGCGGGUUCCUGGACAUUAACCGACGCUGAGGCACGAAGGCCAGGGGAGCGAAAGGGAUUAGAUACCCGAGUAGUC
Molecule: ribosomal RNA, 446 nt
Filed under: uncultured bacterium
Lineage: Bacteria
Description: partial 16S ribosomal RNA
Rfam family: Bacterial small subunit ribosomal RNA
Source: RNAcentral